AUCCAGGUCCCAAAUAGGACGAAACACACGUCCUGGAU
Molecule: non-coding RNA, 38 nt
Organism: Schistosoma margrebowiei
Lineage: Eukaryota; Metazoa; Platyhelminthes; Trematoda; Strigeidida; Schistosomatidae
Source: Rfam